RNAcentral lists this transfer RNA (72 nucleotides) under Betaproteobacteria bacterium. Its description in RNAcentral is "tRNA-Lys". Lineage: Bacteria; Pseudomonadati; Pseudomonadota; Betaproteobacteria. The record is from RNAcentral.
GUAUUGUAGUUUAUUGAUUACAAAGGACUCUUAAUCCGUAGGUCGAGAGUUCGAUCCUCUCACGACCCACCA